Molecule: ribosomal RNA, 425 nt
Filed under: uncultured bacterium
Lineage: Bacteria
Description: bacterial SSU rRNA
Rfam family: Bacterial small subunit ribosomal RNA
Source: RNAcentral
GUUGGGAAUCUUGGACAAUGGGGGAAACCCUGAUCCAGCCAUGCCGCGUGAGUGAUGAAGGCCUUCGGGUUGUAAAGCUCUUUUACCCGGGAAGAUAAUGACUGUACCGGGAGAAUAAGCUCCGGCUAACUUCGUGCCAGCAGCCGCGGUAAUACGAAGGGGGCUAGCGUUGUUCGGAAUUACUGGGCGUAAAGCGCGCGCAGGCGGUUUUUCAAGUCAGUGGUGAAAGCCCGGAGCUCAACUCCGGAACUGCCAUUGAAACUGUGAAACUUGAGGACGAGAGAGGUGAGUGGAAUUCCCAGUGUAGAGGUGAAAUUCGUAGAUAUUGGGAAGAACACCGGUGGCGAAGGCGGCUCACUGGCUCGUUUCUGACGCUCAGGCGCGACAGCGUGGGGAUCAAACAGGAUUAGAAACCCCUGUAGUCC